UCUGCCACCUCCGUCUUCGCCGGCUUCAUCUGCCCUCAUCAUCGGGCACCUCAAGAACCCAGCCCACAACCACCGAACUCCGCCGCUCCUAUAGUCGUCGCCGGGGCCUCCCCGGGCCCUCUAGGCCUCUGGCGACCUCGGAAUCCCAUCCCGCAAACCCAGACAGCCGCUUCGGACCCGCUGAUUCUCGUAAUCGAGGAAAAGGAGGACUUGCUUCCACUGCUUUCGCUCGGGAGUGCUAAGUUCGUCGCCAUCAUCUCUGAUAACUUUCCUAUACGCCAUGUCGAUCUCUUAGAGGCGACAAUCGCGUUGGAGUCGCAGAAGCCGCAGGAAUUCCAGAGAUUCGUGGUCGCCAACCCUGAAAUAUUUUGCCAGCUACAGAAGCAAAAGGAGCACCUUCUUGCGACGGUGAGGGUGCUCGACCGCAAGGCCAGACAAUGCAGUAGGCUCGUCCAUCAGAUGCAAGUAAUCGAGCGCGAGAUCCGCUCCGUCGGUGAUAUCGCUAGCGAAGGCAUCAAUCGACAGAUCCGCCUCGUGGCCGACGCCGGCCUUUCAAUUCUUCGUGAGCACCGGCGCCUGCGGGCUCAGCACGGUAUCUAGCUAGGUCCGGUUGGUGAGGUACCUUUCUCUCUACCUUCUUUAACCCCUUGUUUCUUGAUCCAGCGAUCGAUCUGAUGACUUACUUGUUUGAUUUCUUGUUAUUUCGGUUUUUUAUUUUUGAUUUUUUUUUAUGAUGUAGCGUCUUAUUUUCCUCAGUUCAUACCGUGCUAUAUGCAUGGCCCAUUCGUACCAUACUCGAUAUGAAGACUUUUAGAGCUGCCCGCUGUAAGUAAAGCACCUGAAGCCUUGAUUUCCUGUUAGCUUGUGGAAUGCUCGAUCCAAUCUUCUGUGCCUGAUUUCUGUCAAGCAUUCUGUUUUCUGAUUAAGCAAUUGAAUGAAUCAGAGACAGCCCAAAAACAAAAAAAAACCUCGCUUCCUCCAACUCUUUUGGUUAUUUGCAAUUGUUAA
This 1008-nucleotide long non-coding RNA is filed under the name Phoenix dactylifera (date palm). RNAcentral describes it as "long non-coding RNA (PDAC_LNC016387)". The record is from RNAcentral. Lineage: Eukaryota; Viridiplantae; Streptophyta; Magnoliopsida; Arecales; Arecaceae.